CACGUAGGGCGCAAGCGUUGUCCGGAAUUAUUGGGCGUAAAGAGCUCGUAGGCGGUCUGUUGCGUCCGCUGUGAAAACUCGGGGCUUAACCCCGAGCCUGCAGUGGAUACGGGCAGACUAGAGGUAGGUAGGGGAGAAUGGGAUUCCCGGUGUAGCGGUGAAAUGCGCAGAUAUCGGGAGGAACACCGGUGGCGAAGGCGGUUCUCUGGGCAGUUCCUGACACUGAGGCACGAAGGCCAGGGGAGCAAACGGG
Molecule: ribosomal RNA, 253 nt
Filed under: uncultured bacterium
Lineage: Bacteria
Description: partial 16S ribosomal RNA
Rfam family: Bacterial small subunit ribosomal RNA
Source: RNAcentral